CUCCUGGAAACGGGUGGUAAUGCCGGAUGCUCCGCCCCCUCGCAUGGGGGGUCGGGAAGGCUUUUGCGGAAUGGGAUGGGGUCGCGUCCUAUCAGCUUGUUGGCGGGGCGACGGCCCACCAAGGCUUCGACGGGUAGCCGGCCUGAGAGGGCGACCGGCCACAUUGGGACUGAGAUACGGCCCAGACUCCUACGGGAGGCAGCAGUGGGGAAUAUUGCACAAUGGGGGGAACCCUGAUGCAGCGACGCCGCGUGCGGGAUGGAGGCCUUCGGGUCGUGAACCGCUUUUGAUUGGGAGCAAGCGUGAGUGAGUGUACCUUUCGAAUAAGCACCGGCUAACUACGUGCCAGCAGCCGCGGUAAUACGUAGGGUGCAAGCGUUGUCCGGAAUCAUUGGGCGUAAAGGGCUCGUAGGCGGUUCGUCGCGUCCGGUGUGAAAGCCCAUCGCUUAACAGUGGGUCUGCGCCGGGUACGGGCGGGCUUGAGUGCGGCAGGGGAGGCUGGAAUUCCCGGUGUAACGGUGGAAUGUGUAGAUAUCGGGAAGAACACC
RNAcentral lists this ribosomal RNA (548 nucleotides) under uncultured Bifidobacterium sp. Its description in RNAcentral is "bacterial SSU rRNA". It matches the Rfam family "Bacterial small subunit ribosomal RNA", at positions 147 to 710 of the family's 1533-position model. Lineage: Bacteria; Bacillati; Actinomycetota; Actinomycetes; Bifidobacteriales; Bifidobacteriaceae. The record is from RNAcentral.